GAUACUGUAUGCAGAUUUAAAUCAUUUUGAGCAAGUCGUAUUUUCUUGCCACCUUGGAAGAGUCAAUUAACAUUUAUUGCUGGCCACAUGGCAGACAAUAUGCUCAAUGCUUCAUGGGCAUUAUCUCAUUUCUGUUUUAAAUUACAAAAUGAAGUCUAUGGAUGUUGAAAAUUUUGAAAGAUAUAGAAAAACACAGGAUAAAAAUUGAGAGGCUCUCGUCUCUUCUGCCUUCCCUUACCUUCUCUCUCACUGCUCUCUUUCCCUACAGCUUACCCUAGUGGUACAUGUAUGGUUGUGUGCCGGAUAUGUAUGUGUGUGUUUGUGGGUAGCUGUGUGUACAUACACACAUAACCAUACAAACAAGACCAUAGCUAUUUAUUGUAUUAAGACUUUUCCCCCCUUUUUAAUAGUGUAAUUUGGAUAUUUUCCUGCCUUCUACCAAAUACAUAAAUAUCAUGUUUCUUAAUACUCUUAAUAGUCUAUUCCAUAGUUUAGACUGUAUUUAACAACUCCCUUAUCAUUAGAUAUUUAGGCUUGUCCAGCUUUUUGCUAUCACAAACAGGGAUCUUGGUGUAUAUGUGAAUGUUGGCAGCAGGUUAGCAGAGCACCAGAAGUGGGACUACUGGUCAAACCUUUGCACAAAAAUCAUACAGCCUCUAAUAGCAUUUCCCAGAGAAGAAAAGGGCCUUGUCUGGAACACAGAUCAAGAACUCUUAACUUUUUCUGAUCCAUGCUUUACAUUGCCACUUGAUAAAUACUACAUGUCAUCUCUAAGUACCACUAAAUCUCCCAUCUGGAGAGAUGGGACACUCUCCUUUAUACCUUUGAUGACUUUACUACCCAUGAUAAAAGCAGGAGAUCCCACCUUCCAGCUGCCCCUUCUUAAACAUCUAACUCUGUGCAAGUCCCAACCCUCAUUUAAUCACUUUGCUACUUCAUUGCAUUCAUCACACCAACUUGCAGUUAUUUGUACAGUUGUUCAUCUUCCAUUAGACUGAGCCCUCUGAGGGCAGGAAAUAUUUUUCAUUCUUCUUGGAACUUCCUUUUCCUAACAUAGUGUCUGAGAUGCUCAAUAAACUUUUUUUUGAGUGAAUAAAAAAUAAAUGAGGGAGUAGAAUACCUAGAUGAAUUCAGUUAUAAAAUGGCUCCAGGUACUGAAAUUGUCCAUUUUCAUUUUUAUGUUUUUGCAAUAAGAAAGAUGAACAUGCAUCUCCCCUAGUGCUACUUUUUUCAAAACUAAAUAUUCUAAUUCCAAGGCUUUAUUUCCGUCAAAUAACUACCACUUCCAAAUUCUUCUGUUAUUUUUAUUGUUCUCCAGGAUCUCUCCAUCUCAAUCAUGUCAUACAUUGGAAACAAUUCUCUGACACUUCAUCUAUAUACAAUCAACACUUUGUUAGGCUCUUGUAGCUGCCUCAUUUUUUGUAACACAAUAGAAUACUUGCCUUAAUAAUAAAUUAUAUUUGCCUUACAGUAUGGCUUAUUAGAUACCCAAAAUGUUUUCUGCCAUGCUUUCGAAAUGUUUUGACUGCAUGACAUUCUAUGGUGUUAAAAUUCCCCAAAAUGAAUGAUUUAUACUGCAUUUGCCUUAAUUGGAAUCUAUCCUGUUUUCAUCUUUCCUACUUUGACAGUCAUCUCAAUGUAAAUCCUGUGUCAGAGGUGCUUAUCUGUCUCUUUGCUACUUUUCUUUGAAAACUAAACAUAAACACAAGAAAUUUCACAUAGUAAAACUAGUAAGAUCUGGGUUUAUAAAUAUAAAUGGUGCAUCUGUGGCGGCAGAGCUCUGUCUCCAACUUCUUGGAGAUAAACAAGUUCAUAGUUAGAAAUGCUCUAGAAGUAAACAGGAAACCUGCUACACAAAUUGUGAAAUAUAAGUAUGUUUUAUAGAAGUCCUGAAAUUGUAUUUUUCAACAAGUUAAAACAGAAAAACCUAACACUACCAUAUCCAUUAAAUAUUAAUUCUCUCUUCCUCAAAUGUUUUACUCAUAUCUAUGCCUGUCCCUUUGGAACAUUUUUCAGUCAAAUUCAUAACACUGUCUUGAUUCCAAGCCUCAGGAGAACAUUUGAAUGAAAUUUUCAAAUGCUUCAAUUUUUAUAUCAUCCAAUGUGGAAUUCACAUUUACUGAGCACCUGCAAUGAGCUAGGAUCUGUACUACAUACUUUUAAAAAUACAUUAUUUUUCCUAAGAAAGUUCUGAGGUAGAUAUAUUAUUUUACAGAUGAGGAAACAGAGGUUCAGAGAGGUUAACUGACUUCACAAAAGUCAUAGAGCUACUAGGUAACAGAGCUCAUUGAACAUGGAGCUAGGAUUCAACCCUGGAUCGCCGUGAAGCCAUUUUGUUUCCAUGACAUCAUGACAUUGGUUAUAACACCACAAUUGUUUAGAAUAUAAGGCUUGUUUAGAAUGCAAGGCUUCCUCAAUUCUCCACCCUUCCCCUCUUGACAUCUUGCUCUUCUUCCCUUCAUCUAUUGUGUUAGUCAGGUGCAUGCUGGUCUUCCCUCUAUCAAACUGUAAGCUACUUGGAGACUUGGGAUGCCUCACUCAUCUCUAUUCCCAAACCUCAGGGUCUAUCAUUCUACCUUCUGUAUAGACAGGACUUUCAUAGUUUUGAACAAGUCAGAACCUGAAAGAAUUUGCUUCCAGAACAGGACAUUGACAGGAAAAUUAAGCAUGAUCAUGCCGAGUAAAAUAGGAAUAAGAAUUGGACCUACCUCAAGAUCUGUUGAGAAGAUUAUGAGAGAGCUGAUGGAUCUAAAAGAUUGGCGCUUGAUAGAAUUGGGAUCAUUUGUUUUGACUAGAACAAUCUCUUGCAGCUUGGAUGGAGAAACUUUACAGAGGUUUCAGCCAAACACUCAUGAAUUCUUUAAUGUGUGAAAUAAAGUAAGUUUUAUAGGCAAAUAACAAUCUGAAUCCCUAACUAGCUAUUUCAUAUAAUAUGCAUAUAACUCUGAAAAUUACAUACAUCAAAUUUCAAUUUGGCUUCAUGCAUGCUUUGUUUUAUAGAUUCAUAAAGGCAGAUUUUCUCUGAUUAUCAGACUUAUUGCAAAAUGGAGUCAACACAGAAACUUCCUGAAGUUGGCAAAGCUUGUUUUCUUUGGCUGACAGGAGUAACUGAUGUAUUAUUAUUUUUUAAGGCUCUGAGAUAAAUCUGAUUCAUGUUUGAAUCAUAAGUUUAUUAUUGAUUUUUAGUGUGGAUUUUGCAUAAGAUACUCAAUUUAGAGAAUACUCAGCUUUCUCAUAUGCAGAAUAGAAAAAAAGUAGUUACCUGAUCAGAUUUUUUGAAAGGUAAAUGCAACAGCAGUUGUAAAUGGCAUAGUCCAUUGUUAGGAAUAGACUAGGUGUUCAAUAAAUGAAUAAAAAAAAACCGUGAAGCUCUCCUGAAGCUUUAUAUUCCCUGUCUAUAAAAUGGAGACAUCACUGAUUUCCUGCUUACAUUACAAGACUGCUGUGAAGAUCAAAUGAAGAAACAGAUAAAAAUGUUUGGUAAACUGAAUUGUACAGUAUAAAUAGAAAGCGGUGACAAAAGUAAUUCAUACCAAUGCAGUUUUUUAAAAAUAUCCCAACCUGCCUACACAACUACUUCCUCUCUCUGAGAUUUAUCUCAAAAGUGGAAUUAGAUUCCUGUCUUAGCUGUAAAAAUAAAGCCACAAAGGGCAUCAUGCAUGAGAGAGUAAAUGUGAAACUCUGUGGGGGAAAAUGGAAACUUCAGAUAUUAUUAGGGCCUAGCUGCCAAUGGUGAUUCUCUCAAGAUUUUAUUGGCAGGUUGAGUGAAAGUGCCAGAGUGUGGAUGCACAAAUUGUAGUUUAAUUGGUGUGAUUUAUAGCUAAUGGUGCAUCAGAAGGAGGAACUAGGAACUGUGCCUUCUAAUUUAAGGCAUAGUACCUAAGACUGCAUCCACUAGGUAAGAAAACCUUCCUUGGCAAACUCAAAUAUUAAAUCUUCGCUGAAUUUGUCUUGUUCUUUUAUAUAAAAAUCAUGGAGCCAGGAGCUAAAAUAAUAUCUAAGUUUCCUCUUUGCCUGACGCCAUCCAUGCAAAAUGUGACUUGCUUCUUCAGCAGCAGCAUGAAAACAAACUAAUACACCACUAUUCCUAGGUAAGUAGAGCCACAAUGGGAAGACCACUAAGGGAAUAUGGAGGCUCACAGAGGCUAGUCAAUUUAUCCAAGGCCACGCAGCAAAGCUGGGACUCAAACUCAAAUCUUCUAGUCCUAGUUUCAUUCAGUUUUUUUUUUUUCCUACAUUGAUUCUAGACUUUGUUCUACAAGUGACUACUUUUCUGUUUUGUUCCUGACAUGAACAUGUCCAUGGCUGUCUCAGACUUGUUUGGUUACCCUAAGUAACCAUUUAGCAGCCAAUUUCUGAUAUGACUAUAGAUACAUCUCUAUAAGUGAAUUCUAUAGGUGAUUUGGCAUGAUCAAAAUGAAAAGGCUUUGUUUGAGUUCCCCAAUAUACUGCUCAAAUGAAAGCUUCUCAAAAUAUCAUUUUGAGAUACGACAGGUCUUUCCUUCAAAUACAACAGAUACUUUUCUUUUGCAGCACUCAGCAUACAUACAACUAUUUAUUUAUCUGUAAGUACUUGCUUAGUAUCUGUGAAGAACAUUGCAGGUACCUGACAUAUGUCUAACUGAUGGAGUGAGGCUGCUAAUGUGGCCAUCUCUCCCUCUUCCUGAUAAGAAAGUGAACCAGCCAUUUCAAAAUGUGGAGAAUUCGAUAAAUAUGUUCUACUCCUCUAUAGCCCUCCCACUAAAAUAAUUUUCAAUUUUCAAUUGAGGUGAAAGGAAGAAUCGGCAAAGAGACGGAUUGAGAGAAUUGUUUAUACUCAUAACUUCGUUCUCAACAUAAUUAUCUAUUUCUGAAUCCUAAAAAUCACCUAGCUAGAUUCUCCCUCAAUCUGAAGAUUACCUUUUACUCCUUGAGAUGCUAAAUGUGUUCCUAUUUAUCAUAUUAAUAUUGCGAGUAUUUUGUGUUAUGCAGCCAGAAAAAUCACAUAAUGGGAACUUACCCACAGCCCCCAAACUCAUAAACAGGAGCUGAAUAGAAAUUCCUCAGUGCAAUUUAUGGUAACAAUUUCAUGCUCAGUUUAGUUACUUCCAUGACUCAGAAAAGAAAUUUCUUUUGCUUAUUUCAGUAAUUUUUUUCUAAAAAAUUGUUCCCCUAAUUUUUGGCAAAGGAUCUAUGAGAAAGUGAAGAACUCCCUGGUUGUACAUGGAUUUGGAAUUGUCACUUAAGUGAGGCCAAAAUGUAACCCUAUGCCAUUCAUUGCAUAGUACCAUUUGUUAUAAAUUUGACCUCUAAAACAAAGAUAUUACAAAGCCAUUGAGUGUUUUUUUAAGGGAUAUAUUAUAUUUGUCACUUAGUCCCCAGUAUUAUGAUGGAAAACCUGGAUAGUGGAUAGAAAACCUGGAGGUCAUUUAGGCAUCUCUUUCACUGGUUGGGUGAGAAAUGGUGAAGAAGAUGGGAAUGGAGAAGGGACAUACAUUUGGUAAGUGUAAAUAAGAGUCUUUGCUGAUUAAUUCAGUGUGGCCCAUGAGAAAGAGUGGAAGUGUCCAAGGUUCCCUCAGGUUUACAGCUUGGGCAACUGACUGAGAACAGAAAGGAGCUGCCAUUGAGAGGAAGAAAAGAAAAUGACACUGAGUCCAUGUUGGGACACAUUGGGUUUAAAGGGAUAUCAUUAUGACCUAAGCUCUCUGAAUUCCAGUGACUGGGAAUAUGGGAAGAUACAUCUUUAACAGUUGAAGCAAUUUAUACACUUUAACAAUUGAAGCAAUUUAUACACCAGAGCCUAAGGAAUAUUUAUAGAUGAGGGCUGUGCUGCAAUGACAGAUAGGGUUGUAUGAAACAUACACUAAUCUGACCAUUCUAUCCUCCAGACUCAGGGAAGGAAAUAAUAAAAGUAAGUAACCAUAAAAAAUAGACUUUUAUGCAUAAAUAAAUAAAAAUCAGCUAGGAGACAGUUCAUCCCUGUAUAAGUAAAACAGGCAAAUUUAUCUUUCCUCUGAUUAAUAAUUUAAGAAAAAAUCCCAAGCAAGCUGCCUAUGGAGGUGUAGGAGUAGCUCCUAUAAUUAGACUCCAAUUUGAACCAUGAGGGUGAGGAUCAGAAAGCUGACUCAGAGCCUGGUGUCAAUUAUUUGCAGUUUGUACAACGAAAGGCUAAAAAUUUGGGAGAUGCAGGAUGACUGAAGCCCGAUUCUGGGGGUUGUUACAGCACAGUUACAGGGCCUUCCUCACACCCAUGUCUUCAGAUACCCAAGGCCUUUAAUACCCAAGUCCUUCCAGGAUUCUGCACAUCUCAUUAGCUUCAUAUUCCCAUUUGCUGUAUUAUCAGUGUCUGAUGAUGUUGACAAUGUUGAAGAAGAAGAAAGAAGAGGAGUUGGAGGAGGAGGAAGAAAACAUCCAGAGCAUUCAAUUUAUUCUAGUUAAAUUACUAACCAGAAAGAGAAUGCCCUCGGAAGUCUACUUUAUAAUGCUGUUUGGUUCUAAGUAAAGAGCAUCUAAUAGGGAGACAUGUAAAUCCUGUUUCCAAAACACACUUAGAGGAUUACAGCAUGUGAAAGAUUUGCUCCCUACCUGGCUCAGAGCUACGAAGGUCACAUUGGCUGUCAAAGGACAUGUCUUCUGGCUAGAAGAAGCCCUGGUGAAAUCUUAUGUGAUAUCGGCACCUUUGCAGAAAGUAAGAAACAAAUCACCUGAAAUCUACACACUUAAAUUCAGCCUGUGUUGGUCUAAUCAAAUUUGGCCC
This 6736-nucleotide long non-coding RNA is filed under the name Homo sapiens (human). Its description in RNAcentral is "HSALNT0364193". The record is from RNAcentral. Lineage: Eukaryota; Metazoa; Chordata; Mammalia; Primates; Hominidae.